UAACACAUGCAAGUCGAGCGGAAACGAGUUAUCUGAACCUUCGGGGGACGAUAACGGCGUCGAGCGGCGGACGGGUGAGUAAUGCCUAGGAAAUUGCCCUGAUGUGGGGGAUAACCAUUGGAAACGAUGGCUAAUACCGCAUAAUGCCUACGGGCCAAAGAGGGGGACCUUCGGGCCUCUCGCGUCAGGAUAUGCCUAGGUGGGAUUAGCUAGUUGGUGAGGUAAUGGCUCACCAAGGCGACGAUCCCUAGCUGGUCUGAGAGGAUGAUCAGCCACACUGGAACUGAGACACGGUCCAGACUCCUACGGGAGGCAGCAGUGGGGAAUAUUGCACAAUGGGCGCAAGCCUGAUGCAGCCAUGCCGCGUGUGUGAAGAAGGCCUUCGGGUUGUAAAGCACUUUCAGUCGUGAGGAAGGUGGUGUAGUUAAUAGCUGCAUUAUUUGACGUUAGCGACAGAAGAAGCACCGGCUAACUCCGUGCCAGCAGCCGCGGUAAUACGGAGGGUGCGAGCGUUAAUCGGAAUUACUGGGCGUAAAGCGCAUGCAGGUGGUUUGUUAAGUCAGAUGUGAAAGCCCGGGGCUCAACCUCGGAAUAGCAUUUGAAACUGGCAGACUAGAGUACUGUAGAGGGGGGUAGAAUUUCAGGUGUAGCGGUGAAAUGCGUAGAGAUCUGAAGGAAUACCGGUGGCGAAGGCGGCCCCCUGGACAGAUACUGACACUCAGAUGCGAAAGCGUGGGGAGCAAACAGGAUUAGAUACCNUGGUAGUCCACGCCGUAAACGAUGUCUACUUGGAGGUUGUGGCCUUGAGCCGUGGCUUUCGGAGCUAACGCGUUAAGUAGACCGCCUGGGGAGUACGGUCGCAAGAU
RNAcentral lists this ribosomal RNA (866 nucleotides) under Vibrio sp. Oct07-MA-2BB-4. RNAcentral describes it as "bacterial SSU rRNA". It matches the Rfam family "Bacterial small subunit ribosomal RNA", at positions 49 to 894 of the family's 1533-position model. Lineage: Bacteria; Pseudomonadati; Pseudomonadota; Gammaproteobacteria; Vibrionales; Vibrionaceae. The record is from RNAcentral.